GAAGCGGCAACAGCUCAAAUUUGAAACCUGGCGCUUGCGUCCGGAUUGUAAUUUGUAGAGGAUGCUUCUGGGCAGCGGCCGUUCUAAGUUCCUUGGAACAGGACGUCAUAGAGGGUGAGAAUCCCGUAUGUGACUGGCGCGCACCCUCCACGUAGCUCCUUCGACGAGUCGAGUUGUUUGGGAAUGCAGCUCUAAAUGGGAGGUAAAUUUCUUCUAAAGCUAAAUAUUGGCCAGAGACCGAUAGCGCACAAGUAGAGUGAUCGAAAGAUGAAAAGCACUUUGGAAAGAGAGUUAAAAAGCACGUGAAAUUGUUGAAAGGGAAGCGCUUCCAACCAGACUCCGCGGCGGUGUUCCGCCGGUCUUCUGACCGGUCCACUCGCCGCCGUGGGGCCAACAUCGUCUGGGGCCGCCGGAUAAGACCGGAGGAAUGUAGCUCAUUGAGUGUUAUAGCCUCCGGUGAUGCGGCGCGUCCCGGGCGAGGUCCGCGCUUCGGCAAGGAUGUUGGCGUAAUGGUUGGCAGCGGCCCGUCUUGAAACACGGACCAAGGAGUCUAACAUCUAUGCGAGUGUUCGGGUGUCAAACCCCUACGCGUAAUGAAAGUGAACGGAGGUGGGAGCUUCGGCGCACCAUCGACCGAUCCUGAUGUCCUCGGAUGGAUUUGAGUAAGAGCAUAGCUGUUGGGACCCGAAAGAUGGUGAACUAUGCCUGAAUAGGGUGAAGCCAGAGGAAACUCUGGUGGA
RNAcentral lists this ribosomal RNA (740 nucleotides) under Zasmidium citrigriseum. RNAcentral describes it as "eukaryotic LSU rRNA". It matches the Rfam family "Eukaryotic large subunit ribosomal RNA", at positions 95 to 871 of the family's 3401-position model. Lineage: Eukaryota; Fungi; Ascomycota; Dothideomycetes; Mycosphaerellales; Mycosphaerellaceae. The record is from RNAcentral.